Long non-coding RNA from Bos taurus (domestic cattle), 1456 nucleotides. The record is from Ensembl. Lineage: Eukaryota; Metazoa; Chordata; Mammalia; Artiodactyla; Bovidae.
CUAUAACAACAAAGAAUUACUAUAUUGCCCCCAACUGUAUCAUACUCUAUUUUGAGAAGUGUUUGAUAGACACAGAACAUCUGGAAACAAUUAAUAAACUCUUCUGAGCUUGUGAACAGGCCUGCCUGACCCAACUGGAAAGUUAACCAUCUUCAGAUCACAGUGUGCUUCAUCAGAAUUACCCAUGGCCUGGUUCAGACUGGAUCCACUUAGGGUUCUUUCAUUUGCUUGUUUCAGAUAAUUUCGUCAUCCUCAGUUGCAAAGUCAUGUCCAUCUCUUUGCAACCCCAUGGACUGUAGUCCACUAGGCUUCUCUGUUCAUGGGCUUUUCCCGGCAAGAAUACUGGAGUGGGUGGCCAUUUCCUUCUCCACAGGAUCUUCCAACCCAGGAAUCGAGCCUGCGUCUCUUAUGUUUCUUGCAUUGGCAGGUGGAUUCUUUUACCACUGAGUCAUCUGGGAAGCCCAGGAGCCCACAACUACUACUGCCCACCCCACAUCCCAGCGUUUCCCACCAGAAUAAGAUUCCCUUCAGAUGAUAGUACCCGAUGUUUGCAUCCCUGCAGUUUUGUCUUAAGCCUGAAAUGCCGCAGAAUGCACUUCACAAACUGCAUGUUUUAAAAACACUCCCCUGGUGCCUGUGUGAUUUUGAAGUGCUGCAGAAGGCGCACUAAAGGCUUAUUAAGGCUUAUUAAAAGGAGGGUUUUAUGGACUGAGACUUUGGGGAGGACUUUGGGUAAUUAUUAUCUGGAAUGCUGAAAAACAGGUCAGAUGUCAUCAGGCAAAUCCAGAUAAACUGUUGAGUUGGGGGAAAUUAACCUUCCCCUACACCUACAUAUUAAGUACUUUGUAGUUAUUAUUAACCCAAUACCAUCAAGGCUAUGAUGUCAUCCACAGUUGUCUGGUCAAGCAGUGUGCCUGACAAUUACACUACCCCUUCCUGGAAGCCUCAGAAAGUCCGCCUUGCCCACAGCCCCUCUUUGAGGGCUUCCUUACACAGCAUCUGAUUCCUGGCUCAGUGGAAUGUGCAGGGGCGGGACCUGACAAACAGCACCUUCCUUCAGGCUUACCAAAAGUCUGCAGACAUGCUCUGCCCAACAGAAUAGAUCUCUGCUGGGUAGUAGUAAACUACGAGUAUAAACUGUCUAGUAUAAACCAUCUCGAUUCUCUGUGGGUCCAUUUGACUGUGCAAUACACAAAGUACAGUGUUUAGGGCAGAAGCAGGAAAACAUACAGAGGAAAGUGAAGGCAGAGAGAAAGCAGAAACCAUGGGUGGUCAAGAAGGAGAGAAGAGAGGAGACUGGGAAUCUCUGAGGCAAGAGCAGAGAGAGACUGAGACCUGUGUAGGGCAUGAAGGGUGAGGCUUCCUGCUGAGAAGGCGCUAACUACUGGCUUCAGCUGUGUCUCCAACCACCUGUCAGGGCAGCACAGAUGUUUCUGCUUUUAUCUCUAUAUAUCGU